Molecule: transfer RNA, 54 nt
Filed under: Wellcomia compar
Lineage: Eukaryota; Metazoa; Nematoda; Chromadorea; Rhabditida; Oxyuridae
Description: tRNA-Ser
Source: RNAcentral
CUGAUUGAUGAAAAAAUUUUGAAAAUUUUUUUAUGGAUUGUUUCCUAUUCAGUG